GGUUGCCUACGGGGCGCAGCAGUGGGGAAUAUUGCACAAUGGGGGAAACCCUGGUGCAGCAACGCCGCGUGAGUGGGGAAGUAUUUCGGUAUGUAAAGCUCUAUCAGCAGGGAAUAGAAAAGAAGGUACCUGAAAAAGAAGCCCCGGCUAACUACGUGCCAGCAGCCGCGGUAAUACGUAGGUGGCAAGCGUUGUCCGGAUUUACUGGGUGUAAAGGGGGCGCAGACGGCGAUGCAAGCCAGGAGUGAAAGCCCGGGGCCCAACCCCGGGACUGCUCUUGGAACUGCGUGGCUGGAGUGCAGGAG
RNAcentral lists this ribosomal RNA (305 nucleotides) under uncultured bacterium. Its description in RNAcentral is "bacterial SSU rRNA". It matches the Rfam family "Bacterial small subunit ribosomal RNA", at positions 333 to 654 of the family's 1533-position model. The record is from RNAcentral.